GACACAACUGUUUAGACUUAAGAUUUUGCUCUAAACCUAAAACUUGUGGGUAGCGAAUGCUUGAUCCAAGUCUAGGUAGUUGACGAAUAUGAUAUGGGAAGGUUUUGAGCUACUAUUAAUCUUGCUCCUAGAGAUGCUAGAGUUCUGGAGAAUUUAUUUUGAAAAUCUUAAAUUGCUACAUGAUGAGUUCCUUUAUAAUGAGAGUUCAAAAUUCCUACCACAACCAAAUACUCAUGCUUACUAGAUUAGGAAAGCCUCUCAUUUAUAUAUUUCAUCCUAUAAGCAUUGAGGGUAGUUAAGCUGUGUUGACCCUAAGGAACUAGUCAUGCAGUUAAAGUCAAUAUUAUGUGCUCUCCAUCCAUUACUCUUAGCUACUUCUGUCCUUACAUGUAUGCAACCACUUACAUCCACUUCACCAUAUUCACUAUGUGCUACUUCUAUUCCUAGAAGUACCACCCACAUAUACGCACUAUACUCUGUGCUAUUUCUAUUCUGGGAACACGCACCUAUACUGCUUGUUGACACCUCGGGUGGCACACAGAAUUAACUACAAGCGCACGACUGUGAGUUGUAGCUUUUCACCAAAGAAGUAUUCCUAGGGUUAUCGAAUCCAUGAGGAAUGUGAAGUGAUCUAAAGGCUAGAAGGAAGGAUGACUAUAGGGAUAGAGCUAUAGAGGAUAACUACUAGGGUUGGUCCACUACCGUCACUACACUAAGGAAUUAUAUAUCCUUGACUUGUGCACUGUGAGUGUACGCGCCCUAAACUCACUCAAGAGAGUUGAUUAGGCACGACGCACAACAAGCUCUACGUUUUAAGGACUAGGCCCAACGUGGUGGAAUACAUAGGCUAACUGGGCUGUCACCACCUGCGCUACCAUAGCUAUCACUACUACAAAUAAUUUAUCGUGGCGGGCAAAAAUGAUUUUCCGAGGUGGGCAACUAAAACGCCUCGGAUGAAAGGUCACGGUUAAUGGGAUCUUUUCUGAGGCAGUUUGGUGCCCGCCUCAUUAAAUCGAAUAAAAAAACAAAAAAAAGCAAAAAAGCCCACAGCCUCACUGGGCCUGGAUUUGGGCAUCAUCACUGAUGCUUCUACCCACCGCCGCCGCCAAGGGGAGCUACUGCCACUGUGGAUCCAUGCGCCCACCAUGGAUCCGGCCACCAUGGCCAUGGAUCCGACCACCACGCCUAGGUGCGGAUCCAGCCACCACGAGCAGAUCUAGUGACCUCCCCCGUGGAUCUGGGCACCAUGGAUGCUGAUAUGCUUGGAGAAGCCGCUGAAGGAGCUCAGAUCCAUGACAUUGGAGACGAUGGGGCGCUGCGUCGUUGCUUGAAUGGGGAGAGGGAGAGGCCGUGCCACUGCUGGCCAUGGGG
Molecule: long non-coding RNA, 1371 nt
Filed under: Sorghum bicolor (sorghum)
Lineage: Eukaryota; Viridiplantae; Streptophyta; Magnoliopsida; Poales; Poaceae
Description: long non-coding RNA (SBIC_LNC016443)
Source: RNAcentral